Molecule: ribosomal RNA, 1274 nt
Filed under: Ochthebius colveranus
Lineage: Eukaryota; Metazoa; Arthropoda; Insecta; Coleoptera; Hydraenidae
Description: 16S ribosomal RNA
Rfam family: Archaeal large subunit ribosomal RNA (bases 592-1274)
Source: RNAcentral
AUAAAUUAGUUUAUUUAUUUAUAUAAAAAAAAUAAUUUUAUAUUUUAGUAUUUAUAAAGAAAAAAUAUUUUUUAUUAUAGUAAAAAGUAAAGUGAUUGAAAACUUAAAAAAUUUUUGAAAUUUUAUAUAUCUAAAAGAAUAAUUUAAUUUUAGUACCUUGUGUAUCAGGGUUUAUCAAAAAAAAAUUAUUUAUUUAAAUUUCUCGAAUUUAAAAGAGCUAAAAAAUUAUUUUUUUUAUUGUGAAAUAAAUAUUAAUAAUAAUUUUUUAGUAAUGAAACGUUAUUCGUUUUUAAAUAUAUCUAGUUUUUUAAGAAAUAAAUUAAAUUUAUUUAUUGAUAAAAAUUAAUUUUUUUAUAAAAAUUAAUUUUAUUAAUAUUAAAUAUUUUAAGGGAUAAGCUUUAAAAUAUAUUUAUAUAAUAAUUUAAUAAUAAAUUAAAAGUAGAAUUAAAAAUUUUUAUCUUUAAUAGUAUGUUAUAAUUAAUUUUAUUAAUUUAUUAUUUUUAAUUUAUUUAUAUUUUUUAUUAAAAUUAUUAAUUUAAUUUUUAAAUUAAUUUAAUAAUGAUAAAAUUAGUAUAAAUAAAAGUUUAAUAAUAAAUAUAAUAAAGGUUAAAUUAAGGAAUUCGGCAAAUUAAUUUUUCGCCUGUUUAUUAAAAACAUGUCUUUUUGAUUAUAAUUUAAAGUCUAAUCUGCCCAAUGAAUUUUUAAAUGGCUGCGGUAUUUUGACCGUACAAAGGUAGCAUAAUCAUUAGUUUUUUAAUUGAAAGCUAGAAUGAAUGAUUGAACGAGAAAAUUACUGUCUCAAUUUAAUUUUUUUAGAAUUUUAUUUUUAAGUUAAAAAGCUUAAAUAAUUUUUAAAGACGAGAAGACCCUAUAGAGUUUAAUAUUUUUAGUAUUAUAAAUUUUAUUAAUCUUUUAAUUAUUAAAAAUAUUUUAUUGGGGUGAUAAUUAAAUUUAAUAAACUUUAAUUUUUAUACACAUAAAUUUAUGAAUAAAUGAUCCAUUAUUAAUGAUUAAAAGAUUAAAUUACCUUAGGGAUAACAGCGUAAUUUUUUUUAAGAGUUCUUAUCGAAAAAAAAGAUUGCGACCUCGAUGUUGGAUUAAAAUUAAAUUUUGGUGUAGAAGCUAAAACUUUAAGUCUGUUCGACUUUUAAAAUUUUACAUGAUCUGAGUUUAAACCGGCGUGAGCCAGGUUGGUUUCUAUCUUAAAAUAAUUUAAAUAUUUUAGUACGAAAGGACCAAAUAUUUAUAAUAAUUAUUAAUUUUUGAAUAUUAUU